GUACAACCCACAUGUCCCAUUUGUGUGCGGCCCAUCAAAUUUCUCUUUCCACUUGAUGAAGAAAACGGAGUAUUCAAAGUUGAGUUGGCCCCCAGCUUUAAACAGGUUAUCGUAGGCGUCACGAAUGCAGGGACGCCUUUGAUGUCAUACAUCCGUACUCAGAAUGUGCAAGUGAUGGGGUACACCAAGACGACGAACAAUCCGUUUGCAGCUGAAUACAAACAACAACAGGAC
Molecule: long non-coding RNA, 234 nt
Organism: Folsomia candida
Lineage: Eukaryota; Metazoa; Arthropoda; Collembola; Entomobryomorpha; Isotomidae
Exons: 3
Source: RefSeq, a predicted model, not a curated record